RNAcentral lists this ribosomal RNA (492 nucleotides) under uncultured bacterium. RNAcentral's name for it is "partial 16S ribosomal RNA". It matches the Rfam family "Bacterial small subunit ribosomal RNA", at positions 29 to 507 of the family's 1533-position model. The record is from RNAcentral.
AGUGAACGCUGGCGGUAGGCCUAACACAUGCAAGUCGAACGGCAGCACAGUAAGAGCUUGCUCUUACGGGUGGCGAGUGGCGGACGGGUGAGGAAUACAUCGGAAUCUACUUUUUCGUGGGGGAUAACGUAGGGAAACUUACGCUAAUACCGCAUACGACCUACGGGUGAAAGCAGGGGAUCUUCGGACCUUGCGCGAUUGAAUGAGCCGAUGUCGGAUUAGCUAGUUGGCGGGGUAAAGGCCCACCAAGGCGACGAUCCGUAGCUGGUCUGAGAGGAUGAUCAGCCACACUGGAACUGAGACACGGUCCAGACUCCUACGGGAGGCAGCAGUGGGGAAUAUUGGACAAUGGGCGCAAGCCUGAUCCAGCCAUACCGCGUGGGUGAAGAAGGCCUCCGGGUUGUAAAGCCCUUUUGUUGGGAAAGAAAAGCAGCAGGUUAAUACCCCGCUGUUCUGACGGUACCCAAAGAAUAAGCACCGGCCAACUUCGUG